This is a long non-coding RNA of Thalassophryne amazonica, 112 nucleotides long. RefSeq lists it as uncharacterized. The record is from RefSeq and is a predicted model, not a curated record. The transcript has 3 exons. Lineage: Eukaryota; Metazoa; Chordata; Actinopteri; Batrachoidiformes; Batrachoididae.
CAGUGUGUCAAAAAACACAAACAUUUUAGAUUAUUUAACUAAUCAACAGUUCAACACAGAAUCAUACCAGAAACAGUACUAAAAGAUUUUCAUUUUUAUCCGGAGGCCCUGA